RNAcentral lists this non-coding RNA (102 nucleotides) under Thermosinus carboxydivorans. Its description in RNAcentral is "Guanine sequence". It matches the Rfam family "Purine riboswitch aptamer". Rfam says of the family: Riboswitches are metabolite binding domains within certain messenger RNAs that serve as precision sensors for their corresponding targets. The record is from RNAcentral. Lineage: Bacteria; Bacillati; Bacillota; Negativicutes; Selenomonadales; Sporomusaceae. RNAcentral also lists the same sequence under 1 other name.
AGACAACAUAUUGCUCCUACUCGUAUAAUUUUGAGAAUAUGGCUCAAGAGUCUCUACCGGGCAACCGUAAAUUGCCCGACUACGAGUGAAAGUGUACCUAGG